GACAUAACUUCCAGGAUGGCCAUUUAUUCUGCAGGAUAAAAAAAGUUAUAUAAAAUCCUUUGUUUUUUUUCCCAACCAGGUGAAGUUGGACCCCCUAGUGGUGUGCAAGGGUAUCACAGGAGGUGGAGUACCUGCCAAGGAAGAAGGCCACGUAGAAGAGUGAGGAGAAGAGAGUGAAGAACUGGAAGGUGAACAUCUUCACUGUGAAGCUUCUCUCUGUGGCAGCAAAGGAGUUUGUCUUCUCUGGACAUUCAAACACACAGGACGGAGACGGCGGGAAUAACAAAUAAUGACACUUCCAAGUAAUCUGAAGGAUGGAGCGACACCUGAUUUAUGACACAACAAACUCUAAAACAACAGACUGCGGUGGAAGGUUUCACGCAGUCUCCUGUAAACUCAGACGGAACUCUGAAGACGACACUCGGCAGAUCUGAGAUUUUGCAACACGAGCAGGCUGGACUGAUGCAGUCGGUGAACUCACCCCAAAUGGCCAUGAACAUAGCGAAGGCCACGGUGCCCUCGUUAUCAAAGAGGUGGCUGACCUGCUCAUAUCAACACAAACCAAAAUCAAAAGGCAUCGAGAGAGAGAGAGGAAGAGAGAGGGAGAGAGAGAGAGAUGUCACUGAUAAAGUGUCCAUCCAUCAACAAGCGUAGGUCAGAAGCAGCUUCUUUCAGUCGCUGCCUUUCACCAACCCUUGAUGUCAGCUGACAGAAACCGCCCACUCGUCAGGUCUGACUCACAUCAGUGGGUUUGUGUUGAAAAAGGCAAGUCCGUACAGGAAGACUACGAGGCCCAGAGCAGCAGCUGGGACCAGCAUCAUGGUGUACCAGCCCAGCCACAGUACGUUCUACAGUGGGAUGUUCUCACCUGGUGGCCUGUGAGACGCAGCCCUUGGCUUCUCCACACCAGUUACAGGAGUCGGAGACUUUGAGAAGAUACUGAUAGUCUUCAAAAAUCUCUUUGGG
This is a long non-coding RNA of Cynoglossus semilaevis (tongue sole), 966 nucleotides long. RefSeq lists it as uncharacterized. The record is from RefSeq and is a predicted model, not a curated record. Lineage: Eukaryota; Metazoa; Chordata; Actinopteri; Pleuronectiformes; Cynoglossidae. The transcript has 7 exons.